Molecule: ribosomal RNA, 460 nt
Filed under: uncultured bacterium
Lineage: Bacteria
Description: partial 16S ribosomal RNA
Rfam family: Bacterial small subunit ribosomal RNA
Source: RNAcentral
CCUACGGGGUGCAGCAGUGAGGAAUAUUGGUCAAUGGACGAGAGUCUGAACCAGCCAAGUAGCGUGAAGGAUGACUGCCCUAUGGGUUGUAAACUUCUUUUAUAUGGGAAUAAAAUGUUCCACGUGUGGGAUUUUGUAUGUACCAUAUGAAUAAGGAUCGGCUAACUCCGUGCCAGCAGCCGCGGUAAUACGGAGGAUCCGAGCGUUAUCCGGAUUUAUUGGGUUUAAAGGGAGCGUAGGUGGAUUGUUAAGUCAGUUGUGAAAGUUUGCGGCUCAAUCGUAAAAUUGCAGUUGAAACUGGCAGUCGUGAGUACAGUAGAGGUGGGCGGAAUUCGUGGUGUAGCGGUGAAAUGCUUAGAUAUCACGAAGAACUCCGAUUGCGAAGGCAGCUCACUGGACUGCAACUGACACUGAGGCUCGAAAGUGUGGGUAUCAAACAGGAUUAGAUACCCUGGUAGUC